CAAGGAGUCAGAUAUGGGACAGGAGUUUAAUCUGCUAUACAAAAGAAUUUCCUGAUCUAGAAAAGUUACUUUUUUAAAACCAUCGUUUCUACCUAGGAAUUUUCCAUGGCAGUGGAAUAUUGGUUCAAGACUUUAAAAGAUCUCUUACAGCAUAUGAGAUGCAAAGAAGAAAAGAUGGGAGAAAAGAGGUAAAGGAGAAGAGAGGACCCCAGCAUCAGCUGUUCUCCCUGGGCUAGCUCAUCCUCAGGCUCCAUGAGACUGUCUUUCUUACCUGUUGCCGUGAUUUGGUGACAAAAAGACCAUUUCCAGCCAUAGCGACAGAAUGAGAGUGGCCCACCAGGUCGGACCAUCCUCCCUGGAACAGUUCUUCUUCAAACACCAUGGGAUUUUCUCUAUUGUUUGCUGCAGUGAUUCAGUGAUAAGCAUCAUCACCAGCCAAGCAACAGAAUGAGGUAGGAUGUGAUUUUCAAGUCACUGUCCUAUUUAUUUAUGCAAAUGCUUGACUGGUUAACCCCAGUGGUUAACAGGACGCUAGAUGCCAGGUAUCAGGGAGCGUUCUUCCUGGCACAGUGAACCACAAUAAGCAUUUAUAUAUUCCUAUAGAUCCUAGUGCUUUCUUAGGUUGAACCUAGUUUCUUCUUGGACAAGUCCCAGGCUUGUCUGGAGCAUAGCUCACCGCCUUCCCUUGCCCAGACUCAGACCUUGACUCUAACAUGUCCACUGGGCCCAUGAUUCCAGGCCAUGUCUUGGGUUAAACAUUGCUCUCUGACCCUCCCUGCCUUUUCGUGGCCCUGAAGAGGAGAAACUCGAAGUACAAGUUCUAGGGGAGCAUUCCAAAGUACAGAUGACGGGAAUGGCCUACUGCCUUGCCCUAUCAGGAAAUCACCUACAGGGAAUCCAAUGUGGGAAGGAGUGGCAGUAACAGGGUAGGUCUCUUCUAAAAUUAAGAUAGGCAACAUGAGAUGUUUAAAGACAUGGAGAAGAGAGGGGAGUCCAACCAGAAGUAGCUGAAUGGCAGACAGCCACACCAAAUAUGAGAAAGGGAGAGGGAGAAGAAAAGAGUGAGAAGUGGAAGUGGAGAAAAGAGGGGGAAAGACUACCAGAGGGGGUAGAGUAAGAGUGUGUAGAAAAAGGAGUGAGAGAAAAGGAAAUGAAGAAGAGUAGUUGGAGGAACUAAAGGUUAAGAAGGAAUAUACUAACCAUCUCUAAGCAUCUGAAAGUGGAAGGGAUCUAUCUGA
Molecule: long non-coding RNA, 1238 nt
Filed under: Ursus thibetanus thibetanus
Lineage: Eukaryota; Metazoa; Chordata; Mammalia; Carnivora; Ursidae
Description: lncRNA (ENSUTTG00000005610.1)
Source: RNAcentral